GUUGAUCGGAAUGUUGUUUGGUACAAGUUCACAUAUGGAUGAUUAUGCUGUUAGUUUAGGGUUUCCAUCUUUUGGAUCCUUUUAUGUGACAUUGGACCAGGUUUUGUUCCAAUCUAC
Molecule: microRNA precursor, 117 nt
Filed under: Lupinus angustifolius (narrow-leaved blue lupine)
Lineage: Eukaryota; Viridiplantae; Streptophyta; Magnoliopsida; Fabales; Fabaceae
Description: pre miRNA mir-166
Source: RNAcentral